GAGCGGACCGACGGGAGCUUGCUCCCUUAGGUUAGCGGCGGACGGGUGAGUAACACGUGGGUAACCUGCCUGUAAGACUGGGAUAACUCCGGGAAACCGGGGCUAAUACCGGAUGCUUGAUUGAACCGCAUGGUUCAAUUAUAAAAGGUGGCUUUUAGCUACCACUUACAGAUGGACCCGCGGCGCAUUAGCUAGUUGGUGAGGUAACGGCUCACCAAGGCAACGAUGCGUAGCCGACCUGAGAGGGUGAUCGGCCACACUGGGACUGAGACACGGCCCAAACUCCUACGGGAGGCAGCAGUAGGGAAUCUUCCGCAAUGGACGAAAGUCUGACGGAGCAACGCCGCGUGAGUGAUGAAGGUUUUCGGAUCGUAAAACUCUGUUGUUAGGGAAGAACAAGUACCGUUCGAAUAGGGCGGUACCUUGACGGUACCUAACCAGAAAGCCACGGCUAACUACGUGCCAGCAGCCGCGGUAAUACGUAGGUGGCAAGCGUUGUCCGGAAUUAUUGGGCGUAAAGCGCGCGCAGGCGGUUUCUUAAGUCUGAUGUGAAAGCCCCCGGCUCAACCGGGGAGGGUCAUUGGAAACUGGGGAACUUGAGUGCAGAAAAGGAGAGUGGAAUUCCACGUGUAGCGGUGAAAUGCGUAGAGAUGUGGAGGAACACCAGUGGCGAAGGCGACUCUCUGGUCUGUAACUGACGCUGAGGCGCGAAAGCGUGGGGAGCGAACAGGAUUAGAUACCCUGGUAGUCCACGCCGUAAACGAUGAGUGCUAAGUGUUAGAGGGUUUCCGCCCUUUAGUGCUGCAGCAAACGCAUUAAGCACUCCGCCUGGGGAGUACGGUCGCAAGACUGAAACUUCAAGGAAUUGACGGGGGCCCGCACAAGCGGUGGAGCAUGUGGUUUAAUUCGAAGCAACGCGAAGAACCUUACCAGGUCUUGACAUCCUCUGACACCCCUAGAGAUAGGGCUUCCCUUCGGGGCAGAAUGACAGGGGUGCAUGGUUGCCUCAGCU
RNAcentral lists this ribosomal RNA (1012 nucleotides) under Bacillus licheniformis. Its description in RNAcentral is "bacterial SSU rRNA". It matches the Rfam family "Bacterial small subunit ribosomal RNA", at positions 64 to 1060 of the family's 1533-position model. Lineage: Bacteria; Bacillati; Bacillota; Bacilli; Caryophanales; Bacillaceae. The record is from RNAcentral.